Chinchilla lanigera (long-tailed chinchilla) is the source of this 364-nucleotide long non-coding RNA. RefSeq lists it as uncharacterized. NCBI's taxonomy places the organism in Eukaryota, Metazoa, Chordata, Mammalia, Rodentia, Chinchillidae. The record is from RefSeq and is a predicted model, not a curated record. The transcript is spliced from 3 exons.
AAAAAAAAUUGGUACUAGACUAGGUGAUAGGGCCUGACUAAGUAGACCAAGACAAGAACAAUAGUGAGGUCUAAUAAUAGACCUGUCCCAGGUCCCCUGCGAGUGGCUGCUGAGACAGCUGUGAUCGUUCUCAUCUGCAGAUGUGGAGACAGCCAGAGAUGUUGAAUGACUAGUCCGUCAGCCAGAACAACUCAGAAGUUUGAACCCAGGACACGAGAGAGAGCUUGUCCUGCUGUUUCCACAUCCUGCCCCGGGUCCGGAGGUCUGCGUCCCUCUUUAGAAUGUCAGUCUCCCGGCAGAGGGGAAAAGACACAGGCUACCAGGGUCUUGCUAUGUAGUUCAGGCGGGCCUUGAACUGGUGCCG